Molecule: small nuclear RNA, 20 nt
Filed under: Arabidopsis thaliana (thale cress)
Lineage: Eukaryota; Viridiplantae; Streptophyta; Magnoliopsida; Brassicales; Brassicaceae
Description: snRNA_09594
Source: RNAcentral
AACCCGUCUGAUAGCGCUUA